RNAcentral lists this microRNA precursor (105 nucleotides) under Citrus sinensis (sweet orange). RNAcentral describes it as "miR403b stem-loop (csi-MIR403b)". Its record names the gene csi-MIR403b. It matches the Rfam family "MIR403 microRNA precursor family". Lineage: Eukaryota; Viridiplantae; Streptophyta; Magnoliopsida; Sapindales; Rutaceae. The record is from miRBase by way of RNAcentral.
GGGGCACAUCUCAAGUUUGUGCGUGAAUCUAACCCCAUCACAGCCGUCCGUUUUCCCGCUCUCAUCUGAUGGCGUUAGAUUCACGCACAAACUCGCGAUCUGUCC